This is a small nucleolar RNA of Malania oleifera, 77 nucleotides long. RefSeq annotates it as small nucleolar RNA Z105. The record is from RefSeq and is a predicted model, not a curated record. NCBI's taxonomy places the organism in Eukaryota, Viridiplantae, Streptophyta, Magnoliopsida, Santalales, Ximeniaceae. The transcript has a single exon.
CAAGCAUGAUGAUGAUUUGUACAUUAAAAUUCCGAUAAAUUCAUGAUUGGAAUACAGUAUCCUCCUACUCAUUCUGA